RNAcentral lists this long non-coding RNA (517 nucleotides) under Anser brachyrhynchus (Pink-footed goose). Its description in RNAcentral is "lncRNA (ENSABRG00000007364.1)". Lineage: Eukaryota; Metazoa; Chordata; Aves; Anseriformes; Anatidae. The record is from RNAcentral.
GUUGGACUCAAGCUGGUAUGGUUCAUACAAGCCAACAUCAUUAUGCAACAGCUGCAGUCAAUGUCGAGAGAAUACUGCUGCCCUGGCAGCUAGUAAGACAAAAUGAGGGAGAAGAUGAUGAAAUCAGGUAACACCUGUGGAUGAACUUUUCUUGGAACAGCUUCAUUAUGACUAUUUUUGUCUUGCAAGACUACCACUAGUGCAAUUAGCAAAUUAGUGUAGGCAACUCAGCCUGCAAUUCCAAUAGCAGCAUUUUAGCAAGCAGUUGUCUUGGUUCUCAGCAGCUAUCAGAAGCCCAACAGUAUGGUACUGGCAGGAUUUUGAGUGAAGAAGGACACACUGACAGCAUUCAAACUCGGAAGGAAAGAGUCCCCAUGAGGUGGGGAACUGAAGAAGGAAUGGACAUUUCAGCAACUGAAGCAAUCAAGGGAGGAAAAGGUGUGCUAAGACCUUGGUUUUCAGCUGUUGCAUUUCAGUGGGAAGCACAGGACAUAGGACAAGGACAGCUGAAAACAAG